GACGAACGCUGGCGGCGCGCCUAACACAUGCAAGUCGAACGGCACUGAGAUAAGCUUUCUUUUCUUCGCUUAGUGGCUGACGGGUGAGUAACGCGUGCGUCACCUUCCCUGGAUUGGUGGACAACAGUUUGAAACGACUUCUAAUACCGCCUCAUCCCACGAUCCGGCAUCGGCUUGAGAUCUACGGAUUUAUUCGCGUCAGGUUGGCCUCGCUACCAAUUAGUUAGUUGGUGAGUUAACGGCCCACCAAGGCGAGGAUUGGUAGCCGGCAUGAGAGGUAGAACGGCGACACUGGGACUGAGACACGGUGCAGACUACUACGGGAGGCAGCAGUGGGGGAUAUUGCAAAAUGGCGGAAACGAUGAAGGAGCGACGCUGGGUGGAGGAAGAAGGUGUGCGAAAAGUAAACUCCUGUAGUAAGGGACGAUAAUGACGGUACCUAAAAAGAAAGCACCGGCUAACUACGUG
This 468-nucleotide ribosomal RNA is filed under the name uncultured bacterium. RNAcentral describes it as "partial 16S ribosomal RNA". It matches the Rfam family "Bacterial small subunit ribosomal RNA", at positions 28 to 507 of the family's 1533-position model. The record is from RNAcentral.